RNAcentral lists this long non-coding RNA (1275 nucleotides) under Heterocephalus glaber (naked mole-rat). RNAcentral describes it as "lncRNA (ENSHGLG00100042314.1)". Lineage: Eukaryota; Metazoa; Chordata; Mammalia; Rodentia; Bathyergidae. The record is from RNAcentral.
CAUCCAUGGCCUGUGGCCAGGCCAGGUAUUAGAACAGGAUGUGUGGGAACUUCUUUCCAUUGGAAGAGUAAUCCUUGUGUUCCACCUACCAGGAUGGUAUCUCCUGGGUCAGGACUGGCAGCAACUUCUCUCCCAUCCCUCACCCAGACCCCACCUGCUCUUUGGGGCCAGUGAAUGGUUCCAGGUGCCAGCUCCCUUGCUCACCAUUCCUAGGUGUCAGCACGAUACUUGAGGCUGCAGAUAACUGUGCAGCUGAGAUUACCCUUUGACAGAUGAGAAUUUCAUGUCUUGUGAUUGUAUUGGACAAGCAAAUAUUUAGAGUGAACCUCAGUGGAAAGGAUGCAAUGAGAAAGCUAUUCCUGGCCAGAGCACUGAUUGUGGACAUGUUUUUUCUGUUACUGGGACAGUUCUUUGCUAAUGUAGUUUGUGUGCAAUGAAGAAGGCAUUAACAAUUCUGUCUUUUUAGUCAAAAUGCUACAGGCUCAGGGCAGACAGAGAAACUCAGCCCCUCUGGGUUUGGUGUAUCCCUCAGCUACCAAAGCUCAGAGUGGCACAGCUGGGCUGGCCAAUGCUUGGCACCUCUGCUCUUGGCACAGGCGACAGAGACCCAGGUGCCAUGCUGCCAGUUUUCCUUGUCUUUUUCAUCAUUUCCUUCUUUGUCACUCUGCCAGUAUCAGUAUCCAAACAAGUCGAUAUCCAAAUAUGUGGAGAGAGGCUCUGUAGGCUAAAUAGGACAGUGUAUUGGGUCUGGAGGUGGGGAACUGGGUUCAAGCCUUGGCUCUGCCAUUAACUGACUCUGAAGGCCUUGGAGUCCUCAUCAAAUGAGUAAGGAAGAAAGACUUGUGGAUCUUGGUGUCUUUGCCCAUGUUAGAAGGUGGUAACUUCUCAUCCCCUACCCCUGUCUGAGAAGGGUAUCUGAGAUUGAAGUUCGUGAGAAAAGGCUUUGUCACUGACUGUAGCAGUUGUGUCAGCCUCUGAGGUAGCUUUUAUCCAUAAAAAGAGGAAAAUAAAGCCUGCUCUUCCUAAUUCACAAGGUUUUAGGGUUACAUAGCAUUACAUUCAUUCAUUCAUUCAUUCCCAUGAUUAAUGAGGAUCUAUGUAUGUGUUGGUUCUUGAAAUGUAACGCUGAGAUGUAGUUUCCGUGUUUGAGGGGCUGUUUUUUUUCAGUAUGAGCGCUAUACCCUUAGCCCUUUUCAUUUUAAGGCAAGGUCUUGCUAAAUCACUAAGUUGUACAGGCUGUGCUUGAACAUAGGAUCUUCCCGCUUCAGUCUCCCA